GUAUUUCCAAAACAAAAUCAAACUAGAUUAUUGACACGGAAUGAAACCGAAAAGAAACCGGAAAUAUCAUGUCAAUAAAAACAACUCAAAGUACAGCUCUGUUUCAAUUCAAAGAAAAUAAUAUCAAAUCAACUUAUUUGUAUCGGAAUGAAUACGAAACAAAACCGAAAAUAACGUGUUAACCUUUCUCGUACCGACGAAU
RNAcentral lists this long non-coding RNA (202 nucleotides) under Lathyrus oleraceus (garden pea). RNAcentral describes it as "Pisum sativum (pea) long non-coding RNA (PSAT_LNC004875)". The record is from RNAcentral. Lineage: Eukaryota; Viridiplantae; Streptophyta; Magnoliopsida; Fabales; Fabaceae.